AACGCACAUUGCGCCCGUUAGCAUUCUAGCGGGCAUGCCUGUCCGAGCGUCAUUUCAACCCUCAGGGCUCCCUUUAGGGGGAGACCUGGCGUUGGGGAUCGGCCCGCCCAGCGCGGCGCCGUCCCCCAAAUUCAGUGGCGGUCUCGCUGCAGCCUCCCCUGCGUAGUAGUUUACACCUCGCACCGGAGCGCGGCUAGGCCACGCCGUAAAACCCCCGACUUUCUGAACGUUGACCUCGGAUCAGGUAGGAAUACCCGCUGAACUUAA
Molecule: unclassified non-coding RNA, 267 nt
Filed under: uncultured Hypocreales
Lineage: Eukaryota; Fungi; Ascomycota; Sordariomycetes; Hypocreales
Description: sequence contains 5.8S rRNA gene, ITS2, 28S rRNA gene
Source: RNAcentral